This 660-nucleotide ribosomal RNA is filed under the name uncultured bacterium. RNAcentral's name for it is "bacterial SSU rRNA". It matches the Rfam family "Bacterial small subunit ribosomal RNA", at positions 94 to 788 of the family's 1533-position model. The record is from RNAcentral.
AGUGGCGGACGGGUGAGUAACGCGUGAGAAUCUGCCUUGGGGUCGGGGACAACCACUGGAAACGGUGGCUAAUACCGGAUAAGCCGAUUGGUGAAAGAUUUAUUGCCCGAAGAGGAGCUCGCGUCUGAUUAGCUAGUUGGUGAGGUAAGAGCUCACCAAGGCAGCGAUCAGUAGCUGGUCUGAGAGGACGAUCAGCCACACUGGGACUGAGACACGGCCCAGACUCCUACGGGAGGCAGCAGUGGGGAAUUUUCCGCAAUGGGCGAAAGCCUGACGGAGCAAGACCGCGUGAGGGAGGAAGGCUCUUGGGUUGUAAACCUCUUUUCUCAGGGAAGAAGCUCUGACGGUACCUGAGGAAUCAGCCUCGGCUAACUCCGUGCCAGCAGCCGCGGUAAUACGGAGGAGGCAAGCGUUAUCCGGAAUUAUUGGGCGUAAAGCGUCCGCAGGUGGCGAUUCAAGUCUGCUGUCAAAGCGCGGGGCUUAACUCCGUAAAGGCAGUGGAAACUGAAUAGCUAGAGUGCCGUAGGGGUAGAGGGAAUUCCCGGUGUAGCGGUGAAAUGCGUAGAGAUCGGGAAGAACAUCGGUGGCGAAAGCGCUCUACUGGACGGCAACUGACACUCAGGGACGAAAGCUAGGGGAGCGAAUGGGAUUAGAUACCCC